UGUAAAGAUCGUAAUUUUCUUUUCACAUUGAUAAUAAUGCAUUUAAAGUCCAUAUUAUUUUGAACAGAUUUAUAGAUAAUUUUUUGUAGUAUGUAAUGAGUCGCCAUCUAUAGAAUACAUACACAAAGAAAAAACUUGAUGAACUGGCAUUUGCUUAUUCAGUCAAUGAUGCGUAUUAUUUCAAAUAAAGAAAAAAUAGUGUAGUAUAGAAUUAUUUACUUUAUUUCGAAGCAUUAGCCAAUUCAUGCAGAAAAUAUUGUUUUAUUCAUUUAAAUUAUUUAAAGAUUAAUUCAAUCAUUUAAAUAAAUCAUUAUGAGUUCAGAAUUAAUACUAGACAUACGAUCGAAUUCAUAAAAUUUGACAACUAUCAAAUUACGCGACAUUAAUUUAAAAAAUAGAAUAGAAAAUUUAAUAUACAAGACUGCGGCAAAAGUUAAUUUAUCCAAGGAGUCAUUUGAAUUGCAGAAUUACAUCCAGUAUUUGUAGAAGAUGCACAAAAUUUAGCUGCUGCUGUACAUGAAGAAGCUUAUAACAAUGAUACUGCUGGUACUAAUUCCUCCACGUUGAAUACACCAUCUACUGCAUAGUCUUACAGUUUAGAUAAUUUGAGCGAUUUUAUUUGCAUUGAAAUAUACUACGAUAUAUUGAAUCUAAGUCUAAAUUAUAUAACGAAAGUACUAUCGGGUAAAUGGCUUCAUAUUUCAAUGCAUUUCCAAAAUCUUUUGGAUCUAAUUUUUAAUAAACAUUAAUGUACUUAUGUUUUACAUUAAUUAUAUUUCACACAUUUAUCAUACUUCAAUAAAUAAAUAAAUUAAAUAUAAUAGAAUUGUAAAAUAAUUUCUUAGAGAAACUCACUGAAAAAUUCUAUUUGUCAUAAUAAAUAGAAUAUAUAGCACUGUAAAUAGCUAUCUAUAUGAGUAAUCAAUUAGAAACAAAACAUAAAGUUUGAACAAUUAACAAACACUUCAAUUAAUUUAUUUUCAGAGAAGUAUAAUCUGGCAUAUGGUUUUUUCUUGCUUUUGUCAGAUUCAUUGCUAUUUUUGCUACAUGCAAGAAUGUUUGUGAUACACUAACUCGAUUGUUAAGUUACGCGUGAAAAGUCUAUUAUUUAUAUAGGCUUAUAUACCGACAGAACAAGCGCAUAAUGGGAAAACAAUGUUGCCCUAUUGCGCUUGUAGUUUGUUUUAUCCACUUGUGCAAAAUCAUAAAUUAGAAUGUAAAAUAUCAGAUCAUUAUUUUCAUAUAUUAGUAUGAAAUUUUUUAAUAGUUUUCUAUCAUACCUUAUCAUUCUGUAGGAAACCAGAACCAUAUGUGCGGUCCCAAUCAACAUAGACUGCAAGAUCUAAUUGAGAAACACUAGGACGUACAUUUUGUAGAGCUUCUUUAAAAUCAUCAAAUGUUACCGAUCUAAUUUCUUCAGUUUGUAUAUUUUCUAGUUGACUAAAUGGAAUACUUCUAAUAGGUCCCAUACUAGCUUCCUUACAUAAAUUAGUCAUAUCAGCACCUGAAUAACCUUCUGCUUGUCGAGCAAUAUCAAUAAUAUUUUGCUCUGUAAUAUUAUUUGGUACCGAUGUUAACAAAUUAUUUACAAUUUGUCUUCGUGCUUCCAACUCUGGUAAAGGAAUGUAGAGUCUUUUAACAAGACGACGACGUGCUGCUUCAUCUAAUUCUUGCGGUCUAUUUGUUGCACCUAUUAUUAAAAUGCGAUCAUCUUCAGAAGUUGCUGCACCAUCUAGUUGUACUAAAAAUUCGGUUUUAAGUCUUCUUGAACUUUCAUGCUCUGUCUCUGAUCUUUGACUAAGUAAAGAGUCUAUUUCAUCUAUGAAAAUAACUGAAGGUUGAUGUACUCUAGCUACAGCAAAUAAUGCUCUAACCAUUUUUUCUCCUUCACCUAUCCACUUUGAAGUUAAAGAGCUUGCUGAUAUAGAAAAAAAUGUUGAUUUACUUUGUACUGCAAUGCAUCUUCCAAUCAAUGUUUUACCCGUACCAGGUGGUCCAAAUAAUAAAAUUCCUUUUGGUGGUCUACGUAAGCCAGUAAAAAUAUCAGGUCUUAACAUAGGAAAUACAAUUACUUCUUUAAUAAUUUUUUUAGCAUAUUCAAGUCCUGCGAUAUCAUCCCAAGAAACUGUUGUUCGUAAAUCCAUAAUUUCAUUUUUAACUAGCUCUAUCAUUUUUGGAUCAAUAUUUUUCAACCUCUCAUCUUCUACUUCUGUCGAAUUACUUUCAUUUUCUGUUGUGUUACCUUGGCAAUGCAUUACUUUUUCUUUCUCACGUUUAAACGGACACACAAAUCGAGAAUUAAUAGAAGAUUUACCACCUAAUGUCUUCUUCUGUGCUGGCCUAUUCUUUAAACUUUGUUGAGCACUUAGUUCAUCUCUAGCAGUUUUAAAUGAAUAACCUGGAUUUCCUAAGUUCUGAAAUUCUUCUUUAUUAAACUAAAGAAAAAAAUUUCAUAAUUUUACUAAAUUUUUAUUAAUUGUAAACACACUAUAUUUUAGCACACAACAAAUUUAUAACUUACUUCUACACGACUGUUUUUGUCACCAUAAUGUCGUGCAGAUGAUGAAGCAACAUUUAUUUCAUUUUUCUGAAAAUUCUUAUUUAUAAGAGAAAUUUUAUCAUCAUUUGCCUGAAUUGUUUCAUACAUUGGCCGUGUUUGUACAUUACAUUUUCUCCUUCUUGUAUCCUGUGUCUUCCACAUAUCAACAAUAUCCUGGAUAUAACCAUCAUUAACAAUUCUUUCUUUGCAUGACGAAGUAUUCUCAUCUUGACAUGGCAAACAUUUUACGAAAUCAACUGCUGUUUUUACAUCGUUUAAUCCUGAUUUCCAUUGUAAUGGAUCAUUAUUACUUUCAGCAAUUUUCAUUUCAACUAAAUUCCAAUAAUUCCCGCUCUUUUCUAUCUGUUGUUGAUAUUCUUCUAGGCCUUUUUCGAGCAAACAUGUUGCUACAUCCUCAAAGCCCCUGUAAUUCGAUAAUAUUUCAACUAAUGUGACAAAUUAAAGAAUAAGAAAAUAAAGACUCUCGAAGAAAAUAAACUCACGAUCUUUUUGCUGUUAAAUAUUUCACAGCAAGACAACGUCGUUCAAUGUCCAGUAUUUUAUGUUGAUUUUGAUUAAGUUUUGAAAAUUUUAAUUCUUGAUAAGCUGCCAAAAAAUUAUUAUAUUCUUUGGCAAUGUCCUUUGUAUUACAAAAAGACAUGAUUUUGUAACGUUUUUUUUAAAUUGCUUCUUAUUUUUUAGUUUUUAUUUGUAAAUUAAAUUUAAGAUUUGGACGAACGACGAUAUCACGUGACCUUGAAUUCUAUUCGACUACUAUUGAGACUUCUAGCGGCGAAACAUACAAACUAAUUUUAUUUUUGUCAUAAAAUGUGAUUUUCAAGCAUUUUCGAAAACAAAAUUUAAAAAUUGCUUGUACAAUUUGAUUUUAAAAGAAUAAUAAUAAUAAUAUACAUAAUAAUAAUACACAACGAUUUAGAAAUGCAGAAACAGUAAGACGAUAACUAAAUUGAGUUAAUACGCCGUCCUGAAUUACCAUGCUUCAUCGCAUGCUGAAUACUACUUUCAUCUAAGUCAUCAUCAAAGAUUUCUCUACCAUCUUCUAUGUAUCCGCUUUCACCUAUUUUUAGAAUAUAACAAUGUAAUUUUUUCUAUAUACUUAUAUCAUAUAUUAUAAGAUUAAUUACCAUCAUCAACAAUCCAAUCAUCAUUUUGACGUUUUAUAACAGUUUUACUAUAUUCCUGUUCAUCGACCUCUUCAUAAACAUUUUCUAAUUCGUCAAUCUCAUACUUGUGCUUACUACCUUUUAAUUGUUUCAAUUUUUGUAACGCUAAAAUACAUGCACUUUUUCCAGAUUUUUGCCUUCUCGUUCUACCUGAAGGGGAUUCUAAUUACAAAAUAUAAAAUAAUAAAAACAUUAGUAUACAUUAUUAUUGCCAUUGUUUUAAAUUCAUUGUAGCCUUAACAAAGAUUUUACAUUUGAUCGAUAAAUAUAUCCAUAA
Long non-coding RNA from Vespa velutina, 4000 nucleotides. RefSeq lists it as uncharacterized. The transcript is spliced from 3 exons. The record is from RefSeq and is a predicted model, not a curated record. NCBI's taxonomy places the organism in Eukaryota, Metazoa, Arthropoda, Insecta, Hymenoptera, Vespidae.